Long non-coding RNA from Lathyrus oleraceus (garden pea), 6555 nucleotides. RefSeq lists it as uncharacterized. The transcript is spliced from 2 exons. Lineage: Eukaryota; Viridiplantae; Streptophyta; Magnoliopsida; Fabales; Fabaceae. The record is from RefSeq and is a predicted model, not a curated record.
GUGUAUUUUAUGGUCUAUCUCAUUGUAUUCGUUUUAUCUGUACAGUACACCAUACGAAGAUACAGUAUUCCAAGGGUAGACACCACCUUUAGACAGUGCAAAUGACCGCACUGAACCACUACCCCGUCAUCUUCACCGUAGCGGUAUCAAAACUAAACGCAGAGCGAAUAUCAAAGGUUCGUUAUCCCAUUGUUAACGUCUCUCUCUCUCUCUCUCUCUCUCUCUCUCUCUCUACCAAUCAAUGUCACGAUCAUAGCUUCGAAAACGAAUACACAUUCCAUACAUUUCGGCGUCGAAACCGGCUCUGCAUCGCGUUCACUUUUAAUAGGUUCCAAGCUACUAAUCUAAUUGCUCCGAAUCGGUAACUACAUUUCAUUUCGUGUUGAUUUAUGAAGUUGUGCUGGUACAUUAAUUGUACUUUUGAACAUCACAAGGAAGGUAUUGACAACAUCCACACAUGACCGGAUGUGAAGCGUUGUGUGUUACAUCAAUGAUUGUUGACUCAUGACAUGAUAUUUUAUGUGAUAGUUGCCAUAUCCAACCGAAAAUAUGGCAACUAUCACAUAAAUUAUCAUGUGAGUCAUGUCAUGACUCAUGACAUGAUAUUUUAUCUGAUAGUUGCCAUAGUCAACAAUCAUAGUUGCCACAUCAUGGGAACAGUUCAGAACCCAAGGGACAGCUUAUUUCGAUUGAUGGAAAAACAAAGGAUGAGGUUUGUAGAGGUUUGGAGAGAGUGCUUCUUAAGAUGGAGAUAACAACCUCAAAACUUAAGGUACUGCAUAUCCAUUCUGCCUGUAUCAAAUUAGGAUACAUUCAUUGGAGAACUUUGCUGACGGACUGUACUUUUUCUCGUUUAUUUGUUUUUUCUUAUUGUGAUUUACUUCAGAAGAACAUCUCAUUCUUUUCUGUUGAACCUUUUCUUUCUCUCAUGUCAUAAUUUUUUUUCUCUUAUAUUGGAAAAAAUUAAAAUAAUUCAGUAAUAGGUUAAUCGAAUCUUCAUUUUAGAGUCUGCAAUCUAUUGAAUAUGAUGUAUUGAAAUUACUAAGUAAUUGAUAGGUACCCGUCCAAUGCAAAAUAGAUUUGGGACUAUUUCUGAUAUUGAUUGAUACAAACAGAUUUAACUUAAUAGAAUCACACAAAUUUCACAUAAUAACUACGAUUUCAAGAGCCUUGGCCUUUACCCUUUCUAAAUGUUGAAGAGUUUGGUCUCUCUCACUAACCACCUAGUUCCAAGAUAACCCCCUCUAUCUGGCCCCUUUUCCUAUUUAUUCUUAUUACAAACUGCUAUUAGAGGAUAUCUUGGAAUUUGGUUGGAAAUGGGUCAUUUUGCUAUUAGAGGAGGUGUAGACCCUCGAAGUUAAGGAUUUUCCCUAUUUCUUUUUGUGUAUCAGUUGAUAUCUAUCAACCGGUAUGAGAGCACUUUUGAUCCUGGACAGAAAAAAAAGGGAAAAAAUUGAGUGGUCAUCAAAUGGAAGGAAUGUUUGGUAUUUUUGAUGAUAUGUUGAAGGAAUUUAUAGAUUGGAGAAGAGUACUCAAAGAGUUACGGAUGACAAGGUUGAGAAAUAUUUUGAUGCUGGAGGUUUAUAAGAAGAAAAUCAAAUACCAAAAGUUGUGCGGUGGAUGAGUGGUAGAUAUGUUGCAUAGUACCAAUUAUGGGUUUCAGGCAAUUCAAUUGCCACUUGGGGAAAUUUUACAAAGGCAAUUUUCAAGCAAUUUCGGCCAGAAACUGAUUCAAUAGAGAAUGAAGAAGUGGAAUCAAGGAAUUAUCAAGAAAACAUUAUAUCCCUGGUCGUAAAAGAACGAUAGGCAAUUUUAUCAUUAGUAGGCAGUUUUUAUUAAAGAUAACGGUCAUUUGUAAUUGCAGUAACUAUCAUUUGUAACCGCAAUUUUAGAAUAGGAAUUAAUUAAUUUGGAGAAUGAGAGUGUUGCCUAUAAAUAGAGGGGGUGAUUGAGAGAGAGGAUAUCUUGGAAUUUGGUUGGAAAUGGGCCAUUUUGCUAUUAGAGGAGGUGGAAACUCUCAAAGUUAAGGAUUUUCCCUAUUUCUUUUUGUGUAUCAGUUGGUAUCUAUCAACUGGUAUGAGAGCACUUUUGAUCCGGGACAGAAAAAAAAGGGAAAAAAUUGAGUGGUCAUCAAAUGGAAGGAAUGUUUGGUAUUUUUGAUGAUAUGUUGAAGGAAUUUAUAGAUUGGAGAAGAGUACUCAAAGAGUUACGAAUGACAAGGUUGAGAAAUAUUUUGAUGCUGGAGGUUUAUGUUAAGAAGAAAAUCAAAUACCAAAAGUUGUGCAGUGGAUGAGUGGUAGAUAUGUUGCAUAGUACCAAUUAUGGGUUUCAGGCAGGUAGAUAUGUUGCAUAGUACCAAUUAUGGGUUUCAGGCAAUCCAAUUGCCACUUGGGGGAAUUUUACAAAGGCAAUUAUCAAGCAAUUUCGGCCAGAAACUGAUUCAAUAGAGGAUGAAGAAGUGGAAUCAAGGAAUUAUCAAGAAAACAUUAUAUCCAUGGUCAUAGAAGAAGGAGAAAAGAAGAGAGCUCUAAUAAAAAUUGAGGCUUUGAGUUUGUUGUUUCGGAUUGCUCAAAGGUAAAAGCAAAAGUGAAGAAAGGUGAAUAAUUAUAAGGAGUUAGUGGAAAAUUAUUAGAAUAAUUAUAUUAUUAAUUAAGAGUGUUUAGGUUUAGAAUAAAUAGGGGAACACAUUGGGGAGUUGAUCAAUUUGGAAUUGAAUAGGAAAAUGGGCCAUUUUGGCAUUGGGAGGUGCAGACCCUCGAAGUUCUGCGAUACUAUUUUGUAAUUCAAAGGGCUUUUCCCUAUUUUCCUUUAUAUAUCAGUUGGUUUCUAUCAACGGGUAUUAGAGCAAUUCUGAUCCAGAAAGAUUCUACCGUUGUGCUGGAAAUUUUGGCAUAAAUAUGGCUGCUGAUAUGAUUCCAAGAUUUGAUGGAAGAGAGGCCUAUUGGUGGUUGAUCCAAGCAGAACAAUAUUUUGGGUCAAGAAGAAUGAGUGAAGAGAUGAAGCUUGAGUGGACUGUUGCAUUUGCAUUGAGAGGAGAUGCUCUUGAUUGGUGGAUUUCUUGGAAGGAGAGUCAUUCAAAUACUUGUUGGUGGAAUUUUGUAAAGGCCAUUCUCAAGAAGUUCCAACCAUAAGUUUGGGAUUGUCUACUGGAGUCUGAAAACGAAACACAGGAAAUCCAAGGCAGCGAUGAAAUUCAAGAACCAAUAGCAUCUCCAACUGAAGAAAAGAAUAGUGGUAAAGUUGAAUAUUCACAAAUCCAACAAUACAGUGAAAAAGAAGUUUGUAAAGUGGAUAUCAAAUCUGAUUGCGAGGGCGACAAAGUGAAAAAUACAGAUUCAUUGAUGGCUGUCAGUGAAGCAGAGGUCCAGAGAAGUGAUGGAGAUUCAGCUAUUUCAUCACAAGCAAAAGACUCACUAUCGUUGGUGUUUGCUACUAUUCCUAAGAUAAAGUCUAAGAACAAGAAAUUUCCACUACCGGUGCCACUGUGGCCACAACAACUGGUCACAAGAGGACUGCUAUUAGCAAGAAAAUUUCCUAUUUCAUGUACAACUCACCCUUUAUUUUUCAAAUUAUGGGAUCCAGGAGGAUACAUUUUUCCUUCCGUGUAUUUCUUUCACCCUGAGGACAAGGUGAAUCUUUAGGGGGGAGUAUUGUUAGACUCUUCAGUUUUGUAACUGAUAUUAAAUUAUUAGGAGUUAGUGGGAAAUUAUUAGAAUAAAUAAGGGAAGAUAUUGGGGAGUUAAUCAAUUUGGAAUUGAAUAGGAAAAUGGGUCAUUUUGGCAUUGGGAGGUGCAGACCCCCCUCGAAGUUCAGCAAUACUAUUUUGUAAUUCAAAGGGGUUUUCCCUAUUUUCCUUUAUAUAUCAGUUGGUUUCUAUCAUAUUGUUAGUCACGAGGCAUCUUAAUUAGGAUAGUAAAGGUCUUGUUAGUAAAUAGAAGACAAUUUUAUUAUUAGUAGGCAGUUUUUAUUAAAGAUAAAUGUCAUUUGUAAAUGCAGUUUUAGAAUAGGAAUUAAUUAAUUAGGAGAAUGAGAGUUACCUAUAAAUAGAGAGGGUGAUUUAGAGAGAGGAUGGAAUUUGGUUGGAAAGGGGCCAUUUUGUCAUUAGAGGAGGUGCUGACCCUUGAAAUUCUGCGGUAUUAUUUUGUAAUUCAGAGGGAUUUUUCCUAUUUCCUUUUGUGUAUCAAUUGGUUUCUAUCACAAACAUACACACUGAAAACAAAUAAAACAUAACUGCACAAUAACUGUCAAAUAAAAAAUAACUGCAACAAAUAAAAUAUAACAGCAUCAAAUAUAACAUAACUGCAAAAACACUAACUCAGGUCAGUAUUUGUCUCGGCCUCUCCUCAUAUGUUAUUUUCUAAUUGAGAGAUGUAACAGGAAUAUAAUCAAAUAUUCUUAAAAUACAUUUUUGAUAUACUUGUAGCUGGCUCCAGCUAACUUGUAUUGCAAUGUAACUGUAAUAAUAGAUUGUGUCAUACAUGUAUAGUGGAAUGCUUAAAAUAUGAUAUUCAAAAUCAGUCAUUGUGCAAUUUUCUUUGAUAGAGUAAAUAUUAUCAGGAUGGUUAAACCCCAGUUCCUCAAUUACCACCAAGGUCAUGAAAGAGUUAUUAAUUAGAUGAUAAUGCAUGUCCUCAAGACCUACCAGUCAUAAACAGGAAACCAAGAUUAAACUAUAAAACUCUGAAUAAGUUGCUAGUAUUUACCCCCAUGACGCAUGUCUCUUCAUUUGUCUCGAGUGUUAUUGGAGAAUGAUGGAAAUUCCCUUGUUUCAAUAUGUUGUUGAUCUUGUUAAUACCUAGGUGGUCUGUAUGUACAACAUACAAACUCUUAAUUUUGUUCUAACAGAAUCAUUUUUCAUGAAAAGGAAUGAUAUGAAGGAUAAUUUGUUUUGUUGCUAUGGCUAAUAUAUUAAUAUGUUCAAUUGGAUUGGCUGUGCAUGUUUGGGUUGGGAGCAAGAUAUUUUAAAAUGUUUUGAAGUUUCUCUUUUGUUCUUGUCCUUUCUCAAACAUGGUGUGGCUUUUGUCGUUGAUGGCCCUACUAGGUGGCAAUAUUCUCAAAGACUGGUAUAUGUUGUUGUAAGACACCAUCACAAAAAGCACAGGUAUAUUAUACACCUUUAUCUGCAUUCAACUGCGAUUGUUUAAUAUGUAAUCCAAUUUAGUUAUUCUUUCUCCCCUUUUCACACUCCUGGUAUGCUUGCUCGUACAGCAAUUUAAGGGGAAGAAAUGGAUAUCUUAUAAGUUAUAUCUUCCUCUAAGUAACUAGGUUAGAAAUGAAAAGUAGAUUUUGAUAGUGGUGAUUCCUAAUUCAUAUAUAAAAUUUGACUGUUUUCAGCUGUUAGCAUGAAUCAAUAAUUGAAGUUUCUUAUUUAUUAUUCUGUUUUGCACCAUUUACGUUCAUUGCAUCCUUAUUACGAGUUAAAAGAUGGCAUUUGUUAGUUAUAAGAAUCACCGUUACUAAUCAAACUCAUUAUUAUUAUGGACUAAUAGUGUCUGUUUUUGUUAUCUCAUGUCUCCACCUUCUCGAAUACAAAAUACCGCCUUUGUACCCAUCAGAAAAGUUAUGCUGGUUUGAUCUGGCACUAUUUUUCACAGCUUGUGCAGAUCUUAAAAUUGUGUGAUUAUAGAACAAUUGCAAUUGGUGUUGUGGGAAUGAUGUAGGGAUGAUACAACAAACAAACUGAUAUAUGCAUUGGCAUUAGUAUAAAAGAAGGAUUGUGGGCUUGCAAGGUAGCUGAUUUGUAGUAUUGGAAGUAAGCAUUUUUCAUAAUUUUUGCUGGUGCAAUCAUGCUGUGUAUACAAAAAUUCUUGUAUACAAAUUUUUGAGGCAAGCCCAAACCAGCCUCUUCAAUUCUCUUAGUUUGAUGGCGUAUUAUGUUUUGUACAAGUGUUCAUGUUCUUGUCACUGCUUGACAAAUGUGUUAGUAAGGACCCGUCAUGUAGCAUCCACAAAUUUUAUUUUACUGCCAAAGUUGAGUUUGACAUAUGUUGCUAAUUGACUUGCUUUUUAAAUGGCACAACAUAUUCUUCUCAAUUUUGUGUAGUAUCCUCUCUUAUCUUGCAGCCCAAGAUUUCACAUUCUGCUGAAACGUUGUCCCAUAAUUUCCCAUUUAAUCCCAUAUGAACAUACUGAUAUCUCUUUUUCCUUUUCCCCAAUAGUUUUCGUUUCUUUGUAUAAUAAUGGUAUACAUAUUAAAGGUGUUGUCUAAAGUGGACGUGGUCUACACUACAUUGAUCAUCAUAUGUCAAUGUCACUUUGUUCUUCACUUUUUCUUUUUUGCUGAAAUUAGUAUACAUUGUAUCGGCUAUAUUUUGACAGAAACCAUAAUUUCCAUACAGCUCACAGUUGCAGCCAGCAUGGGUCCAAUUCUUGCCAUAAGUACUUCUGGUAUACACAUCAAGCAUGCUGAACGACUGGAGAUGCCAAUUUUUUUUUUGGUACCAUCAAUUACUAAGAAAUUUGUAAAAAUAAUAGUACUAUCAAUCACUAAGAUAUUUCCUACUACUCCUACCACUUUAACUUUCUUAAUAUCAAUUACCAAAAAAUUUAAUACCA